This 351-nucleotide unclassified non-coding RNA is filed under the name soil metagenome. RNAcentral describes it as "partial contains 5.8S ribosomal RNA, internal transcribed spacer 2, and large subunit ribosomal RNA". The stretch from base 1 to 120 matches the Rfam family "5.8S ribosomal RNA", at positions 35 to 154 of the family's 154-position model. The record is from RNAcentral.
GAUGAAGAACGCAGCGAAACGCGAUAUGUAAUGUGAAUUGCAGAAUUCAGUGAAUCAUCGAAUCUUUGAACGCACAUGGCGCCUUCCAGUAUCCUGGGAGGCAUGCCUGUCCGAGCGUCGUUUCAACCCUCGAGCCCCCGUGGCCCGGCGUUGGGGAUCUGCCACGGCAGGCCCCUAAAACCAGUGGCGGACCCGAAGGCCCUCUCCUUUGCGCAGUAGCAUCAGCCUCGCAUUGGGAUCCCUCGGCGUCCUGCCUCUAAACCCCCCACAAGUCCGCUCCGGCGGCACCAAGGUUGACCUCGAAUCAGGUAGGAAUACCCGCUGAACUUAAGCAUAUCAAUAAGCGGAGGA